RNAcentral lists this transfer RNA (76 nucleotides) under Caenorhabditis brenneri. RNAcentral's name for it is "tRNA CBN27036". It matches the Rfam family "tRNA". Rfam says of the family: Transfer RNA (tRNA) molecules are approximately 80 nucleotides in length. Their secondary structure includes four short double-helical elements and three loops (D, anti-codon, and T loops). Lineage: Eukaryota; Metazoa; Nematoda; Chromadorea; Rhabditida; Rhabditidae. The record is from RNAcentral.
GCCCCAUUGGCGCAGUUGGUUAGCGCGUGGUACUUAUAGUAUGCCAAGGUCGCCAGUUCGAGCCUGGCAUGGGGCA